Molecule: long non-coding RNA, 5461 nt
Filed under: Trifolium pratense (red clover)
Lineage: Eukaryota; Viridiplantae; Streptophyta; Magnoliopsida; Fabales; Fabaceae
Description: long non-coding RNA (TPRA_LNC000192)
Source: RNAcentral
AUAUACAAACCAGUUAAGUGCUCGACUGUUUAUUUCUUAUCCUCUAUGGGAAUGAAGUUCGGUAUUGUCUUUUUUUUCACACACCUAAAAAAUGGAACCACACAAUUGUUUGAUCCUAAAAAAUGAAUACCAGAAAACAUAGAAGAUGGACCAAGCAAAAUAUGUGAUCCUUGUUUUCUUUUUGCUUCUAAACCUGGCUGUAGCUUUAGGAGUGUUGUUGAGUAAUAAUGAUGAUGAUAACUAUAGCAGAUAUGAUUUCCCAAAUGAGUUUGUUUUUGGGUCAGGCACAUCUGCUUAUCAGGUAGAAGGAGCUGCUAAUGAAGAUGGAAGAACUCCUAGCAUUUGGGAUACCUUUGCUCAUGCUGGUUAGUUCUUUUCUUGUUUUUCUUGUUAUCAUUUUUGGAAUUUUUUAUGAUAUGUAUUUUAAUUUUUUUUAUGAUAUGUAUUUAAUAUUUUUGAGAAAAAACUCAAGUUUCACAUUAAGGCCUAAAAAGGUUUGUCUGAAUAUAUGUUUAUAAAAUAAAGACAAUUUUCACCUUGCAGACCGAUUUUGUAUGGUUGACUUAGGCCUAACUCUCAAUUCUAAGAUGGUAUUAGAACCUCUUCCACAAUCCGCUGACCCGUUGCAAUCAGGUUUCUGAUCAGGUCAUCCACCAUUUAUAUCCGCACCCCCAAUGGUGUUAGGUGCGAAGAGUUUAUAAAGAGUGACACUCAUUUGUAUGUUUAAAAAUGUCAGUGAGAAAUUAAACUAUCAUUAUAUGAAAUGAAACUAUAAUUGUUGAUGCAAAACCAUUGAUAUGUCUUAAGUUAUAAGCUUUUGGAAUAGUCCAAAACCAAUUCACAUUAAUUGAGCAUAGUAAUGUACAAUUUAACUAUAUCAUUCACAUUAAUUGAGCAUUAUAAACCAAUUCUCAUACUUUCAUCUAAAAUUUUCUUAUAAAAAGGGUUUGCGCACGGAGGAAACGGAGAUGUAGCAUGUGACGUGUACCACAAAUACAAGGUAAACAAUACACAAAGCUUCUAUCUGUCUAAUUUUUCCCAGUGAUACAUUUUUUAAUAUGAUUCAUCUGUUCAUGCAGGAAGAUGUGCAGCUCAUGGUUGAAACAGGCCUUGAAGCCUUUCGAUUUUCCAUUUCUUGGUCAAGAUUGAUACCAAGUAUUCUGCUCAACUUAAACUUUAUAGUAUAAGUGCGGUGAAUUUUAGAUUUCUUUUAUUUCUUUCUGGAGUAAAGAAUGAAUGUCUUUGAAAAUGCUUUUAUUUAAACUCAGAUGGGAGAGGACCUGUCAACCCGAAGGGAUUGCAGUACUACAACAAUCUCAUCAAUGAACUCAUUAACAAUGGUUAGAUACGAGUUUUCUUAAUUCAAUUUAAGUUAAAGCAUGCCUUAAUUAAGAUUUCAUUCAAAAUUUAUAAACAUGAAAAGAAUUAUAUUUGUUUAAGUAAAUACAAGUCUUUCCCUUAUGCAGGAAUCGAACCACAUGUCACUCUACACAACUAUGAUCUCCCACAAGCACUUGAGGAUGAAUAUGGAGGAUGGCUUAGUCGUGAUGUCAUGUAUGUUCUGUGCAACUAUAGUGUAUUCCCUCCGUGACACUUUAUAAGCAAAAUUAUGCAUUAUAAUGUAUAAAAUUAUGUGUGGUACUAUGUGAUUGAUGCUUGAAAUAAGACUCUUUUCGUUAAUCAUUAGUUCCCUAAAGUUGGUCACUAUGUGGUUAAUUAUCUUAAUUCGAGUUUAUAGUUAAUAUUAUGAUUCUCCUUGCCUCACUUGCUUGUAUGAUAUUUUGUCAAACACACUUCAAUGCUUUGAAGAUUUCUUAUUCUAAAAAAUGUAUUUAUUAUGAAGAAAUAUCCUUAUAUUGCAACUUUUGACAGAAAUGAGAAUUAUGACUUGAAUGUCAAUGCAGAAAAGACUUCACAAACUACGCAGAUGUGUGUUUUAGAGAGUUCGGCGAUAGAGUCAAGUAUUGGACUACUGUGAACGAGCCCAAUAUCUUUGCCUUAGGUAGUUAUGAUCAAGGAAUCACCCCACCUCAGCGAUGUUCUCCUCCAUUUUGUAUUAUAGAGAGCACUAAGGGCAACUCAACAUUUGAACCAUACUUGGUAGUUCAUCAUAUUUUGUUAGCACAUUCUUCAGCUGUGAGAUUGUAUAGAAGAGAGUACACGGUAUAUGCCUAAUCUUUUUUCACACCAGUACUUUUCUUGUGGAUUUGUCACUCUCUAGAUGUUUUGAUUGGAAAAGGCUUCAAAUUAUAUACUUAACCCUUAUUGGGUUCUGAACCUUUUAUACUGGAUUUUUAAUAUUUUUCGACAUACAGAAACCUUGUAGGAAAAUAAUGUUCAUGAUUCCUUAGAGACUAAUUACAUUGCAGGAGGAACAACAUGGAUUUGUUGGUAUAUCUGUCUAUACAUUUGGGAUAGUUCCUCAUACAAAUACAGAGAAAGACAAGGCAGCUUGUCAACGUUUCCGCGAUUUUUAUCUCGGUUGGUGAGUUUCUGAUUCUAAAAUUGAUUGAAAUAUUUUUUCUACUUACUUUAAAUAUUUAAGUACUCUCGGUUCCUUAUAUCAUUUAAGACCAAUUUUGAGGCUUAUAAUAUUUUUUGUUGCUGUUUAUGACUAUAUUGUAUAAGGAUAUGACAUUCUCAUGUGCCUAUUUUAUGGCAGGAUUAUGGAACCCUUGAUUCGCGGAGAUUAUCCCAAAAUUAUGAAGGCAAAUGCAGGUGCAAGAAUUCCGGCAUUUACAAGUCGUGAAUCCAAACAAGUUAAGGGUUCCUAUGACUUUAUUGGCAUAAUUCACUACACCAAAUUAAAUGUCACAGACAAUUCUGAUGCGCUGAAGACAAAACUGAGAGAUUUCUAUGCAGACACGGCUGCAAAGCUACUCGGUAUGUAUUGUCUGUUUAAGCAUUGUGGAUUUUAAAGAUUAAAGCUAUAUAACCUUGCUGUACUAAUUGCUUUUGUCAUUAUGAUUAUGUUGUUUUCAACUAGCUGAACUCUAACAUCGUUUAGCUUAGCAUCUGAUUCCCCUUUCCGCAGCGCGCACGUAUCACUUGUUGAAUAAUUGGUGGAGCAAAAUAAAUCAUUUUUCUUUAAACAGAGCAAAAAUGAAUAAUUCCUUUGUUUUCCGUGGUUUUGCAGGUCAAGAGGGUAUACUUACAGAGGACGAGGUAACAGUUAAAAAACUAAUUAUAAUGAUCAUCGUAAUUAAUUGGUUCAAUCACUAGAUUACUUCGCUAUACCAACCAUCUUUAUUGACUUGACUCAGUACCCUGUCGCACCAUGGGCUUUACGAGAAGUGCUGGAUAUAUUCAAGAUUUUUUAUGGCAAUCCAACUAUAUUCAUUCAUGAAAAUGGUAUGUGUAUCUCUCAUUCAAGAUUUCAUUGAUUACAACACUCUUUUAGGAAAAUCGUAUAUGGAUGUUGAUAGAUGUAUAAUAAAUUGCUUUCUCUGAUAGAAGUAUAAUAUACUAACAACUAACAUUUGCAUGAAAUUGUAAACAAUGAUUUAACAAUGAUUUUGCGAAACAUUUGUUAUCAUUGUUUAAACUAAUGCUGCAUAAAUAAUAUCAGUUCCAAUGGAUUGAAUUAUUGAUGAAAAUCGGGUUUGUCUUGUUAGGCCAACGGACAGCAAGCAAUGCAUCGCUCAAUGACGUAUCAAGGGUGAAAUAUUUGCAUGCAUACAUCGGUAGUGUGCUUGAUUCCUUGAGGUAUAUGAUUGCAACUCCAUCUUACUAUCUGUUGAACAAUUAUAUCUCAAAGUUGUCUUUGAAGCAAGUUAUCGUCUAAUAAAUGAUACGCGAUGCUUUGAUACAUUAUCUGAUAAAUUUCGUUGUCAUGUCUUAUUUUCUUCAGAAAUGGAUCAAAUAUAAAGGGAUAUUUUGCGUGGUCUUUCAUUGAUUCAUUUGAGUUGCUGGAUGGAUAUAAAUCAAUCUAUGGGCUGUACUAUGUCGAUAGGAAUGAUCAAGAGUUGAGAAGAUAUCCAAAGCUCUCUGCAAAAUGGUACAGCCAAUUUUUAAAGCGUACAAGAUCUGCUCUAGUUGGUGCUAUUGAACUCAAGAACGAUCCAUCGCUUGUUUCUGUUGAACUCAAGAAUGAAUAAUUUGUAUGCUUUAGUGUGGUGCUACAUAGUGGUGUUUCUUUUUAAAGUGUUUCAGUUUCUUAAGUUAGUUGGUAGUUGGUUGGGUGGUUAAGAAAUCUGUUAGUAAGCAGUUACUCAUUAUUAGAAGCAAUGUGCUGUCUAUUUGGGCAAUGUAGUACUAGUACAAUUUUCCAACUCAAAACUUAAUCAAUCACAACUUGAGCAACACCUAAAAUUUAUGGCAUAGGAUUGAAUUAGAUAGAACAAAAUGUUUAACUUAGUAUUAAAUUCUCUUCAAGAUUUGGUGGACCACAUGCUAUGAAGUCAUACAUCUAUUGACGCACUAAACUUAUGACGGGUGUGUUAAAGUGUACCAUAUAAUUCUCAUCUUACGGAUUGAUUUUGUAAAAUUGAGUUAGGCUUGACCAAAAUUUUAAUAUUUUUUUAUUUGUGACACAUCAACUUGCCAUCUCUAUAUUUUAUGUAAUUUUUUCUUUUUCUAUCUAGACAAUCUCACAUCCUAUGAAGCACGAACACCUCUAUGAUUAGGCGUGUCGCGGUGUCCGACACGUGUCGGUGGAUUGUUUAAAAAAAUUAAAAAAAAUCGCUAUUUUAAUCUUCGAAAUAAAAUUUUGGUUCUUCAAUUUUUUUAAAGAAUUAGAAAUUAACCCUUAAAAAUCAGUUUCUAAAAUAUUCUUGUACCAUACAUAUAUUUUUACCAUUAAAUUUAUACACUCGUUCCAUCAUAUCUUAUUUAAUUAAUGAUGUGAUUUAUUAAUUUAAUGAUAAAAACAUUUGUUUUAUGAAAAAAAAAGUUGUCCGAGACAUAAUCUUAUAGCAUCUCUAAUACAUUUCACACACAAAAAAAAAUAUUGAUAUUUAUUUAAUUCUUCCAUUGAGAAAAAGAAAGAAAAAAAGAACAGCUAUUAUAUAUAUUAUUAAAAAUAUAUAAAUUAAUGUUAAAAAAAUUAUAAAUUAAGGAAAUAUACAAACCACUUAAGUGCUCCGGUGUUUAUUUCUUAUCCUCAGGGGCAAGAAAUUUGGUGUUGUCUUUUUUUUUUUUUCUCACACUUAAAAAAUGGAACCACACAAUUGUUUGAGUUUGAGGAAUACCAGAAAACAUAGAAGAUGGAACAAGCAAAAUGUUUGAUCCUUGUUUUCUUUUUGCUUCUAAACUUGGCUGUAGCUGUAGGAUGUGUUGUUGAGUAAUGAUGAUGAUUAUAACUAUAGCAGAUAUGAUUUUCCAGAUGAGUUUGUUUUUGGGUCAGGUACCUCUGCUUAUCAGGUAGAAGGAGCUGCUAAUGAAGAUGGAAGAACUCCUAGCAUUUGGGAUACCUUUGCUCAUGCUGGUUAGUUCUUUUCUUGUUUUUUUCUUAUCAUUUUUG